AGAUCGGCAGACACAUAAAAGACAAAAAAUAGAACAAAACAAAACAGAAAAUGUAGUUCUCUCUAUCCACCCUGUUUCCUUCAGGUAUUUAAUCGGGUGACUGUAUGUAUGGACAGCCUGUUUCUGGAUGUUAAAGAUGAUAAAGAUGUCUUCCUGUAUCGUUUAUGUCCCAGUGUUGUUGCCAUACUUUUUGCAUUUGUCUCUUUAUAAUUGUUUUACCCUCAGCUUUACAAAGUGGAAUUUUCAUGUUUACUGUUUGUGAUCGGAGUGUUUGCUGGGCCAGUGUAUCACCAUCUACUCCCACAUGAGCAGCGACCCAAACGAAGCGAGCCGUCAGACCCUUGUUGUGCAGUCUGGAUAUUAAACGCUGGAUUUCAAACAGAAGGUCUUGUCUGCUUGAUUUCACAGAUGUAAUACUUCUCCUUCACACUGUGGUAUGAACACUGCAGCUCCUGCACGUCCAGUCUCAGGGCCUUUUGAACCUUCUGGAAAUAACACCAACUUAUCUGCAAAGUGCUGCUCAGACUUUCCUACAGUCUUCAUGCCACCGCGGUACACUCUUACCUCUGCUCCCUGCACCCUUCGCUAUUGUUUCCUCUGCCGACUGUAUGAUGACUGCAACCAACCUUUUAUUGAAUUCAUCCCCAUCUGAUAUAUGUUCUCUAAGUAAAAGUUCACACCUUCCCAUACUCAGUGCUUGAAAUGUGUCCCAGUUUGCUUUGUCUGAUUUCCAUCUUGGUAUCUCCAGUUCCUCUUCUUGGUGUACUAACCUUAAUUCUGACAGGAUAAUGAUCCCUGCCCACCGGUGACGUACUAAACACCUCCCAGGUUGAGAUAGCCGCUAUUCCAUUAGACUGUAGUGUUAGAGCGAUUGCACUUUCCUUGUUUAGAGCACUGUUAUACCUAGUACCUCUCCCACCAUUCACACAUACUAAUCCCUUCUCCUCUAUGAAUUCCUCUGUGAUUAAACCAUUUGCCUCCGUUUUCUUACUCCCCCACAGUGUGUUAUGUGUGUUGAAGUCUCCACACCACACCACCAUGCCCUGCACCUGCCCACCCACAAUGUCCGAUAUAUCAAGGCACAGCCUAUUACAUGGGUUAUAGUAAUGAAUUAUUGCUAAUUCAUCCUUUCCUGCCCAGAUCUUGACCAUUAUUGAUUUGUGUUCUUUCCCUAAAUGAAUCAGAUUAAACCUCGUCCCCUCCUACGCAAAUGUUGCCAUACCACCACCUUUCCCAAUCUUCCCAUCAUUCCUAAUUGCUGUAUAUAACCCCAUAUUAUGAAAUCCCACUGUGGUCUCAGCCAUGUUUCUUGUAUGCACAUUAUAUCAGGUUUAUCUUGUAGAUUUGAAACUUUUUUUUUAAAUUCCUGACCAUUUGCAAUAAGGCUUCUUGCAUUCCAUUGUAAUUAAUGCCAUGAUGAUCCACCACCCCAUGAUUGUGAUUGUGAGCUAGACGUCCCUCCAUUUAACAUUUUCUUAACUUCUUCCCAUCCAAGAUCUUUGAUUCCCAGGUAUUUGGGUAGGAGCUGACGUGCUGCGGUCACCGGUGUUUGUGUUUUACUAGUAGCGUAUUUCUGCAGCUCUAGCUCAUCAGUUAAUUUUGUUCGAUUCUUCAUUAUAGUGAUUAACUAUCUGCUAUAAAUUUAAACGUACACUAGUUCUGCUCAAGAUCGCUCCUUCUUUUAGCGACUUUCUCUCUAAUCCUACAGUUGUUUACACACUAUUCAGUUCUGCAGGUUACCAUACUUUAGCUUAGCAGCUAGCGAUGGCUUCUCCCUCUCCUGUCUUACUCGGUGUGUCAGAUGUUUAGCUAUUCCUCUGCCUCCUUUAGUGAUAAUGGUACAUGAAAUAAAUAGUUUAUUUGUCGCAUUGGAGGCGAGGCUUAGUGAAUUGGAAACGUGGCUCUGCACCAUGGGAA
This is a long non-coding RNA of Siniperca chuatsi (mandarin fish), 1917 nucleotides long. RefSeq lists it as uncharacterized. Lineage: Eukaryota; Metazoa; Chordata; Actinopteri; Centrarchiformes; Sinipercidae. The record is from RefSeq and is a predicted model, not a curated record. The transcript has 3 exons.